RNAcentral lists this long non-coding RNA (10603 nucleotides) under Daucus carota (carrot). RNAcentral's name for it is "long non-coding RNA (DCAR_LNC004712)". The record is from RNAcentral. Lineage: Eukaryota; Viridiplantae; Streptophyta; Magnoliopsida; Apiales; Apiaceae.
UUAAUAUAAUGUAAUUAUAUAUUAUUUUAUUAAUAUUUUAUUUUAUGUUAUUAAUAUUUUUAUUUUAUUCCGAAUUUUAUUUUUUUUGUUCUCAAAUUUUUAACGUCAAUUUUUUUAAAUUCGAAAUUCUUUCUUUCCUACGAAUAUAAAUUAAGUUUAAAUUAAAUUAUGUUUUGGUAAAUUUCGAUUAUUGCUACUAAUCAUAUUUCGAAAUCUAAAAAACACGAAAUCUAAAAAUCCAAUAUUUAUUCUCAAAUCAUAGUCUAAAUCUACACAACCAACUUAAAAAAUCCUAAAAAAUAAUAUCAAUUUCAAUCAUAAAUCUUACAAAUGCUUAACUAUUUCAAAAAUCAAAAUGUAAUGCCAAAUCUCUAGCCAUAAUCAUGAAGAUAACUGGAAAUUAUAACAUGCAACUCAAACUAAUCAAACAACAAAUUACAAAUCAAGGCCUUAUACAUACACACACACACACACACUAAUAUCUUUAGGGAAAAUAAAGGUAGUACCUUCAAAUUUAAUGCUAACUAGGGCGACCUUCUCCCUCUUUUCUCCCUUCGUUUUCUCCCUUUGCUGCUGCUGUGUUUGUGUGUGUAAUUGUGUGUGAUUCAUGGGCUGAGGCGAGUUAAAAUUGGGGAGGGGAUACACACGUGGUCGCCCGUGAUAGGGUCGACCACGUCACAGCUGGGAUGCAGGGGUCGCCCGCGUAUAGGGCGACAUGUACAUGGCUCGAAAACAAUGAGGGUCGCCCGGGGUUGUGGCGACCUUAAGUGUGGGGAAGCUCAAGCUCGGGUCACCCGAGUUUAAAAGAAUUAGGCUGGUUAGUUUUGAAAAGUCGAACGGAGGUUGGUUAGGUUUGAAAACUUUGUGUUCAAACUAGUUAGUUUGGUAUGGGAGCCCCUGGGGUCUGUUUGGUUUGUUGUAUUCGGGCUUUGGAUCAAACAGCUGAUUUAUCUCUUAAUAAAGUGAGCUGGGAUGAAGUCAUCAAGAUGGGUGAACAAGUUUCGAAACAGGCCACUUUGGGUAUUCUAUUUUUUACUCUGCUUUACUUUUUCAAUGUGAAUUGUAUCGCCUGCAAGUUUUUUAUUAUCGUAAUUUUGUGUGGUAGUCUUAUUAGUUUUUUUCCGUGAAUCUGUUUUUUGGGGCUUUGUGUUAGUUGGAGUCUUGCUUUCGUGAUUAAUUUGGAUAUAUGAGUGGAAACUCUUUCGGGGUUUUCUUGAUAACAAUGGUUAAGCUGAAAAUGAUGCCUUUUUAUCUGAUUAUAAUUCAAGUGGGUUGUGGUAUUAAGAAUUUUGAUUUUUUUUAGUACCUUUUAUAAAUUUAUAAGAUUUGUUAAGCAGCUUUCCCAAUACCUUACUGUAUUUAAAAGAUGUCAAUCCAACACAUUAUCGAAUAUUAGUUUAAGAGAUGCUGUCCGCAGAUCAUAGUGUAAUCAAAGUUGCACGGAUCGCGGGUCGAUCGGGAACGUGGUACGAGUACGGGUACGUGAGACGUUACCUUGAGUGAAUCGGGUACAAUGAGGAGUGAAUCGGGUUCGUGGAUCGGUAGGGGGAUCCCUUUUUAAUCAUAAAUAUUUUGUAAAAAUUAUAUAUAUUUCAGCAAUCAUUUAGAUUCAUAGUUUAAUACAACAAUUAUGUCUAUGCUAGUAUUUAGUUUAUUAAUGCAUUACAUGAAAUGUAAAACUUCUGAGGAAUAUUAAUACUACAAGUUGCAGGUCUAAGUUUCAGCUUCAGCAUGUGCUCUUAGUCUUGUUCUCUUGUUACUACUUACUAAUGUACUAAAAUAUACAUACUGGCAAAGGCAAACAUAUGGAAAAGGCAAAGGCAAACAAAAUUUUAACACCAGAAUGAGCCGAUGAUAUAAUAAAGGGUACUGAGUCCAAACUAAAAUACUUAAAAAUUCAGAGUUGACAACAUUAUCAAUCAAUUAAACGAUCCAAACAAAAACAAAGAUAAUAAGAAAGAUGUCCCAGAAACAUUGAAUUUGAAAUAAACUUCAAUUUACUCCCAGUUUUGAUCUUCAAGUCGGAUGGCAGACUCUUCCAAGUAGGUGUUCUCUGGAUUGACAUCCCAUUUCCUUGAUGGCCCCUUUUUAUAGCUUUCGGAACAACGAGAUAGAAGACGGACAUUGGAAUGAAUAAAUACCAGUUUAUUAGCCCUUGUAGCAUUGAGCUGAUUCCGUUUUGCAUUGUGAAUAUAUGAAUACGUACUCCAUGCUCUUUCCGCUGAUGAACUACUGAUUUGUUGUGCCAAAACCUUGAGUGCAAUAUCAGCCAAUUCCGGAGUUUCUAAACCAUAUGUUGACCACCACGAAAUUGGACUCAUGGACAUUGCAUCAACUCUCGCAGCCGGUGAUCUAAAAAUUCCUUCUUUCACUUGGAAUCUCGAGAGUUGUCUACGCAAAAGUGUUGUUUCAGUAGCAUCUUCACCAAUUCUUUCUAAGGCUGCCAUUACCCCGUUAACAACUUCUAAAUCAUGAUUUGGAGGACGCCUAGGCAUACCACCCGGAGCUUCCAUUCUCAAGUAAUUUGCAUCAUUAUAAUGGGGAUUAAGUGAAAAACCCAAGCAAUGCAUAUGAAUAUUCAUUUUCUCCCUACGAUUAACUAAAAUUCUUGCAUUUGAAUAUGAUCAUUGGCAUGCUCUCCAUUUUUCAUGGCAUCACUUAUUGCUCCUAAAAUGCAAUCCAUCCUCUCAUAAAUCUCUCCAUUUUUGGUCCUUCACCAUCUAGAAAAUUUAACCAUUAAAUAUAUUGGCUUUGUUAUGGCUAGUAUAUUAUUUACCUCUUCCCAAAAAUGUUCAUCUCUAAUUGUUGCAACAAUCUCUUCGGCAAGCAUCCUUACUCCUACUUCACUUUUUUUAACCCACUCCUUCCAAACAGUUAACACCACAGUAGUAGCAAGAGCCUCCCUAUUCUUGUUUACUCUUCUUAGUAAAGUAAUAAAUAGUACUUUCUACUUAAGUAAAUGAUUUUUUUUUUAAAUUAAAGAAGGUGAAAUAACAAAAAAUACGGAUAUUUUUUAGCAUUGACCACAAAUCGCGAAAUUCUCGUUUCUCAAUAAUUAUCCAAGCCCUAGCUACUUCCGCCCCGAAAAUAAUACACACACAUCUGUCUCUAUUUAUUCAUCUUCUUCUUCACUCAUCUCUCUCGCACUUUGGAAGAGCAGGACCUCCCGAUAUCAAGGACACCUACUCUCUCCUUGUGCUCAAUAUCACUUUCUGUACGUCUCUCUGUAGGAGCCCUAAUUGUUUGCCCAAUUGUGUGUUUUCACGCGAUUGAAUUUGAUUGGUUGUGUUUUGGUUUGUUUUUUUAGGUACUAGUGCUGAUGAUUUGUUCCCUUUGUUUGAUAAGUAUGGGAAGGUUGUUGAUGUUUUCAUUCCUCGUGACCGGAGGUCCCCUCCCCCUCCCUCCCUCCCUCCCUCCCUUUAUUCUCCUUGUAUGGUUAUCUAUGUAAGAUUAAUUGCUUGUUGUUGUGUGUAAUUGCAUAUAGAUUAAACUUUUUAGGACUGGUUAUUUUGUAUACAUGUGUGUGAAUUGCUUGUUAUGUGUGUUUUAUGUUAAUUGAACUUUAGGACUGGGGAUUCACGUGGAUUUGCAUUUUGUACAUUAUAAGUAUGCUGAUGAGGCACAUAAGGCUGUCGAAAGGCUUGAUGGUAAGUUUCACGGGGAUUUGCAUUUUGUUUCUUUGCUUUGGUGAUUACAUGUUAUUGUUGUCUGGAUGUGGUUUCUUAUGAUGGUCCAGUUUGCUAAGUAUGGGCCUAAUGCUGAAAGAAUGUAGAUUGAUUUUUUGUAAUUGUUAGUAUAGAUAUGUGCAAUAUAUUGUUUAUAAUGAGAAGUUGUGUCCAUUUUUUUGGGAGUUCACACACAGAAAAAGCUGUUCUUUAUGUUAUAGAAAGGCUGUGUAGAAGGUACUGAAAUGUAUAUGUUAUCUAGCUUAGCUCUAUAUCUUUUGCUAUCGCGUUCUCGAAAAACAAAAAAUUGUUAUAUAAGAAGUAUGCUUAUUAGGUUUGUUUAGCAGUUAUCAAGAGAAUUGGCCUUUUUGGGACAUAUUGGAGGUACCCUAAAACAAUGGCCUUUUUAGCGCUAAUAAAUGUUAUAUAUACAUAUAUUAAACGUGUGGUAUGAAAACACAUUAUAUUAAUGCGUCUUAAGUGCCAUAAAGGGCCCUUUUAAAGGCCCAUUUUCUGGGCUAUUUUUUGGGCAAUUUCAUCUCAAUUUGUGCUAAAAAGAGCUAGCACCCGGUUAUUAACCUGUCAUGUCGAUACUUUCACUUUCAUGAACCGUAAAGAAACAUGACAUGUAUGCAAAGGGUAGGGCACUACUUUUUUUAUUGUGUCAAUAUUUUUUAGAUGCUACUGUGAGCAUUAAUCUUUAAGCAUCCAUUAUGUUGUUCAUAAAUUGAAAAUUGCACAUUUUGAGGCUAAAUUGCAGGGUAUGAGUAAGUUAUAAAUAUGUAUCAGACUGUCUAUGUUCUUUUGUCUUUUCCAUUAAGCUAUUAAGGGUCUUUGUUAAUUUGCAUUCUGUGAAAGGAUCUACAAGAGUAAUUUAAAUAAAUCAUGGAUCGAAUAUAAUCGAUAAGUUAAUAAAAUAUUUUUUAAAAAUUAAUUGAAAAUUAACAAAAUCAAAGAUAUUUAGAGUAGAGCCUAAAUUAAUUAAAUUUGAUCACAAAUAUUUUAAUUAUAAAGCUUCAUAUUUAAUCAUGUUAGACAUGGAUACUUUUAAUUAUAAAUAAAACACGUAUAAACAUUAUUAUUCAAACUCUAAAAAGGUAUUAUCAUUAAAACAAAUUUCUCGUAUUCGUUCUUUAUAAAUAUUUCGAUUACUUGAUUUUUAAAAAUUUAUUUAACAUGUCUGGUAAAAAAAACUAUUAACACGAACAUAUAUAUUAAUCAGUAAAUUAUGUUUUGAUCAAUUUUCAAAUUAAAUUAAUAUUAAAAUACAGCAGGAAAAUAAAUAUCAUUAGUAAAUAUUAGCCCACGUCAUCCGGGUUUAUCGGACCCGUAUUAAGUAUUAAAACUGCCCUGCACAAAACCCAUCUUUCUUUCUUCUCUAAAACCCUAAUUAAUAAUUACACUUCCAAAGUUCCAAGCUUUACAAAAAUGGGAAAAACUAGCACACUGUAAGAUCCACAUUACAAAGCUUCUAUUACAUACUCGUAUCAUUUAUAUGUGUUAAUGUGUAUUCUACAUGCUCAAUUUGCUGUUAAUUUUAUAAAUUUAUUAACUUUUUUUUGUGUUGAAUUUCAGAGGAAAAGAAUCAAGUCGUGCUGACCAGAAGUUUGAAAAGAAGCUCCAAUUCUACGCUAGUAAGUUAUUUUCUGUGUUUAUUAUAAUGGGUUUAUGUUUUUUGUGUAUAGCUAUGAUGGUUUUAAUCAAGUUUUGUUUUUGGUGCUUAUUGGUAGUGAUGGUAGAUGUAAUGUGCUUAGAGUUUGGUUAUAAGUUUGAAAAUUUGUUCGUAAAUGAAUCGAAGUGCUAAUGUAUUUAUAUUGUUUGUUCCAAUGUAUUCUUGCAGAGAUUAGGGAUAAAGUUUCUUCGUUAGGUGCUCAGAAGGCCAUCGUCAAGGUAUGAUUUUUCAUUCGUGUUUCUUUUUUAGGCUGAUUAAAGAUAUUUAGGUUGCUUUUGAUAAUGUGUUGAGUGUUUGCUGGAAGUGUACUUUGUGAGACUAAUUUGUUGUACUAAAAAAAUUCAGGAUGACACACGUUUUGUUUGUUUUUUGCAACGUUCUAAGUUGUGAGUGGUAUUUAUUGGGUUUGUUGAUGAUUUUUAUGUUAUAUUUAAAAAUAUUUUAAAUGGAUACCAGGAGGAUGAUGUGGAAAAUAUUAUUAGUGGACUAAAUGCUGCUUGAUCAGUGUAACUUGAAGGAUGAAUCAUUUCUUACAACUUAUGAGUUAUGUCAGUUUGCUGCUGCGUCCUUUUUUGUUUUAUAAGAUUAAAAAUUUGAACUCAUAUAAGAAUUUGAGAACUUUAAUUAAGCAGUAGUGCUUUGAAAAUCUUGGGCCUUGCUGUGCAGCUUCUUGUUUUCAUCUACGACUGCAUAAUAGGCUUUUACUGCAUUCUCUAAUACUUCAAUAUUUGCCCUUAAUCAUUAUUUAAAAUAAUUAUUGAGUGGAUAUAUGUAAGUUUGUUACAUUCAGAAAUUAUUGACCAACUCUCUAGUAUAGUUCGUUUGAGAAGAAGAUUUCAGCUCUUAAAGAUUCUGUGACUACAUUUAGCAUACAACAUAGUAACCGACAUGCUCUGCUGAAAUUCGAUAAUUGUUAUGCAUAUGUUUUCUUGCUAGUUAACUGCUCGCUUCUGUAUUCAGUGCAGGCUUCUAGAUCUUUAAGUCUCUUUUUGAAUAUGCCAACUUCCAUACAACCUCUUUCUAUAGACUCCCUUGGCUUUAGUUUUCAUUUGUAAGCUGUAAAGCACUAAAGCUAAUAAAUUUAUUUUUUAAUUAUUUAAAAAUCUUGCUUCAAAGGCAUAUUAUUUGUAUUCUUGACUUGUGAUCCACAUAAUUUUUCUGGAGUGCUCUGUUAGUUUCUGUUCUUAUUUAUAAGCAAACCUGCUCAUUAUUUUUUGGAGCUGUUCCCAGUUCCCGCGUCAGAUAAGCAAUUUCAUGGUGGCUGAUAUACUUUUGUUUUGUUCACCUCUCCAUAUCCUUCUCCCGACCUUCCUUCUUUCGUCCACCUAAUAUAUCAGUGAUAAAAAAGUAUCAGGGUGACAGGGAAUCUUAGAAACAUAUAAAAACAAAAAUGACAGUAGUUUAUAAAGCGUACAACAUCAGGAAAAUUGCAAUUGUACUUUGUAAAUGCACUUUCUAAUCCGUUCAAAACCAAACAACUAAAGGAACUUAGAAGAACAAUAAUAAUAGGUUUGUUGCCUUUAUGAACUAGAGCUUGUUCAUUACAAACUGUAAAAAGACUAUAAUAUUUGGUUGAUGGCCUGUCAACAGUUAGAGAUAUAUUGUUUAAGAGUAAGUAAGAGCCCAUGUUCUAGUUAAGUUUACCUGUGCCUCGUGGCUGUUACUUCUUACUAGGGAUUUAAGAACUCAGGUUCAUGACUGGUAAUUUUCCUCACAGGCCCUGAGUAGGUUAUUUCACUGCUGGCUGAAAAUAUAAUAAAGUAUUUAAACCUCUUUAGAUAAGAAUUAUGAUUGACAAAAAUAAUAGCAUUACAACUCUUAAGUGCUCUGCUUGAGUGGAGGUACACAGCUGUAUCUUUGGAUGGCUUUGCUUUAUCGGCAUGCCACAUGCUGAGGGAAAAAACUGAUUUUAGAAUGUAGUACAGACAGUUUAGAAAUUAAUAUGAAGGAAAACAUGAUUCAGGUGUCAUGAUUAGGUUCACAAAAAUCAUACCCUAGGCGUUUCAGUGUUCUUCCUUUGAUGCUUUCAUCUAAAAUUCCAUUCACAGGGUGUAAUACUUACUGCGCUGGGGAAUUCUGUAAAGGUACUACCAGAACAAUCAUAUUAGAAUAAAUCUGGAAACCAUAAAAUAUAAAUAAAUAUACAACAGAUUUUACAUGUUAGGUGAAUUGCCAAAAACAAGAAAUUUCUUAGUUAACAUACAUCCAAUGUACUUGAUUUAAUCAUUUCUAAAAGAUUUCCAGGAAGAAGAAAGUACUCAUGUCUGUGUUUAAACACUUCAUGAAACUCAGUAUGAUGUGGUAAUGUGGUUGAGGGCACUAAAUGAUAGGGGAAUAGCACGAAUGAGAAAUACGAAGACUUUCUAAGACUUCCAAGUAUUGUUUAAAUUACUAAUAGAACAAGAUAUAACAAACCAUUAGGUUACAAUGGCUUUCUGUGAUAAAUGAUAUUUUUCGAUAUAAAUUGUAUGAUUUCAUAUACAAAUCAACCAGCCUGGUGUUUAUAAAAGUCACACAGAAAUUGCUGGUAAUUUGCUAGCAUUACUUCCAUGUUCUAUAUAAUGUUAUGUUAAAACACAGUAUUGUGCGAUCACAGUAAGAGAGUUUUUUCAUUACUUUGGCUGAAUAAAUGGUUAAAUUUCAAGAUAACCACACUUUUAUUGGUAGAAACGAUGUCACAGACAUAUAUACAUGUGUUUGUACAUAUGGGGGGAGAGAGAGAGAUCGCGUGGCAUGUUAAAUUAAGCUCAGCAUGUUAAAAUUAUGAGUUGUAUGCACCUUUCAGUUUCUGUUCUCCCAGUAUUUUACAUGUGAGAGAGUUUUUGCUUCACCAAAGAGACCGUUGCAAUAAAAGGAACGGUACUGCUGAAUCUUUCUGCAGUAAGACCAUAGGACAUACAUAUAAAAAGGAAAAAUAUAACUCUUAAUAAAAUAGUGUUUUAGCAGUCUUACUUUGUGUUUUUGUUGGGGAAGGGACAAAGUGAUGUUACUUAUGUUUCAUCCCACUGUGCUUAAAAAAUCAUAAUAUUCCCCACAACAGCAAAAAUAAUCUAAGAUAGAAGUAUGAUUCAUUUCUAGAGUUGGUAGUUAUAGUAUCGUUUAUAUUUGCUAGCACUGUUGGAUAUUAAUCAACUACUGAUUGCUCUUGGUUCAGGUUUCUGUGAAUGUAAUGGCGCUUUUUUCUCCUGUCAGUUGACCUUUAUGUUGGUCAACUGACUAAUGGUCAACUGACAAGAGAAAAAGGAAAAGGAAAAGUACUCGUGAAAAAAAUUGGUUCUAUCUUUUUAUUAAACUAUGUUGCAGAUACAGUUUAGUAAUUUGCAGAUACAGUUUAGUAAUUUAUGCUCAGUGAGUAUGUUCAAAGCAUUCAUGAGAAGGAUAUUAAAGUGAUUUAUAUUCUAAAGAUACACAUCUUAUUCUUUCAGAAAAAGAAACUUCGAAGUCGACAGAGGAAGCUCAAAGCUUAUGAUCUCUCUGCUCUCUCUGAGUUCCUUCCUGACGAAAAGAAGGAAACAAAGCUACAAACUGCUGUCGAUUUUAAGCUAACGUGUAAAUCCAGGCAAACCCUAGUGUAAGCGAGACAAUGUCUGAAUAUUAUUCUGGUCAAGUCUUUUUAGAUUAUUUCCACAGUUCAUAUCAUUCUUUUCCAAUUUGAAAUGUAAUGUCGGGUCAAUUUUAUCAGACUGAAGGAGGGGAAACAACUGAACAAUGUUCUAAAUCAUCCUGCUGUCAAAGCGGAUCCAUUAGGUGCUAUCCAUCAACAUUUGCAGAACACACAGCCUCUUACAGAUGUGAAACAAAUUAAGAAGCCCAAGAAAGUUGGAAAGAAGAAAGCGAAAGGGAAAAAGUCUAAAGCUUCAUCUGCACCUCAAUCGAUGGACAUGUAAUGUAGGUUUCUAUACGUGAUAUAUAUAAGCCUCUUUUGUGUCUUGUUUUGCUAAGCUCUAUCUCUUACCAUUCUAUUGUGGUAUUCGGCUCAUUUUUGUCUAGCAGUUAUAUUUAUGGAUGUGAAUUAUUGUAAAUGGCCACCACUUUUGGUGGAUUUGCAUCUUGCAAUGAAUCAAUGUGUUUGUUUUGCUUCGUCGAGUAUCUUGUAGUCUAUUUGGUCAGAAAGAAAAUCCAAUAAAUAAAUAAUACUUUGAUUUUCGGUUUUUCGAUUUUCGACAGUAGAAAACGACUGUUGUGAAAAUACAGGCCACCAUUCAUCGAACUUCGGAGGACCAUGGGGAGUCCCACGAGGAUCUGUUUGAAAACUUUCUUACUGUGAUCGCACAAUACUGUGUUUUAACAUAAUUGUGAUUUUGUUUCAGAAUUUAGAAUUAUAUGUUACUAGUUGUAUAGUGACCUUGUACGAGAAUACUUAACGCUCUUUCCAUUUGUAUCUUUCUUCAGUAAUCAGCAUAAAUAAUGAUCUGCCUAAAUUGUUGAAUCAGAUAACAUUGUUUUUCUGAAAAACUUUGAAACAUGGUUCUCAUUCCGAUCCCUCUGUUUUUUACUAUUAUUUAACGUUUUGAUUUUUGACACACAUUUUUAGGUAAGUUGACCGGAUAGUAAAAUUAUUAUUUUUGAUUGAUUUUUUUUUUUGAAUUAAAAUUUUGAUUACGUAUUUUUAUUCGAAAAAAAAAUUUUAAAAAUAAUAUUUUAAACUACUCGGUCAAAGACCUUAAAAGUACGUGCCUAAAGAGUAAAGGUAAAACGUCAAAUAUUAAAAAACAGAGGGAGUAAUAAAAUAAUCUAAUGUAAUGCAAUGAAAAGAAGGGUCAUUAUAAUUUAAAUUAGUUUCAUUUUUUAUUUUUUAUUCUGAACUAAUAAUAUUUAUAUUUCUAUGCAACUCCCUGAAAUUAGUUAUACUAUUAGUGUCAAGCAAAUAUCAAAAUAUAAUUGGAAUUUUGAAGGGAAGCUCUUUUUUUUUUUUUAAGGGAGAAAACUAUGUUCUUAAAACAAAAAAACGAUAAAAAGAAAUAAUAAAUCAUAUAAAUAGAAACAUUAGAAGCUGCUGUCUCAUAAACCCCAAAAGCAAACCCUUAUUUACAUCAUCAAUCGAGAGAGAGAGAGAGAGAGAUCGAGAGAGAGAGAUGGGAAAAGCCAGGGAGAGAGAGCAGCUGAACCGGAUUCUUGGUGAGCAUCUCAAUAUCAUUCACGAAACUCUUCAGGUGCUUCUAUUUAUAUUACACUAGUACAUACUCUGUCUAUGUAUAAUCAUACCUUUGUAUUUAUGAAUUUUACCUGUCUGAACCUGGGGUCUGUUUGGUUUGUUGUAUUCAGG